ACCAAUGACUACGACGUCAAAAUGCGCAACGUUUUCAAAUUUCUGGACAACGGCGACAAAGUAAAGAUUACUUUGCGGUUCCGUGGUCGCGAAAUGGCGCACCAGAACCUUGGCCGCGAGCUGCUGGAGCGUGUUGCUGAAGACACCAAAGAGCACGGCAAGAUUGAGAACUUCCCGAAGAUGGAAGGCCGCCAGAUGGUCAUGAUCAUCGGGCCAUUGCCGCAAAAAUAAGUCGCUCGCGACAUUCUAAUUUGAAAGCGCGGCACUUAAUUGUGCGGCGCUUUUUCGUUUAAAGGCAGCCGGUUAACGCCCUACCCUUGGCGUA
Molecule: unclassified non-coding RNA, 325 nt
Filed under: Octadecabacter temperatus
Lineage: Bacteria; Pseudomonadati; Pseudomonadota; Alphaproteobacteria; Rhodobacterales; Roseobacteraceae
Description: Long range pseudoknot
Source: RNAcentral